RNAcentral lists this ribosomal RNA (439 nucleotides) under uncultured bacterium. RNAcentral's name for it is "partial 16S ribosomal RNA". It matches the Rfam family "Bacterial small subunit ribosomal RNA", at positions 339 to 795 of the family's 1533-position model. The record is from RNAcentral.
CUACGGGGGGCAGCAGUGAGGAAUAUUGCACAAUGGAGGAAACUCUGAUGCAGCAACGCCGCGUGGAGGAUGACGCAUUUCGGUGUGUAAACUCCUUUUAUGAGUCAAGAAAAUGACGGUAGCUCAUGAAUAAGCACCGGCUAACUCCGUGCCAGCAGCCGCGGUAAUACGGAGGGUGCAAGCGUUACUCGGAAUCACUGGGCGUAAAGGACGCGUAGGCGGGAUAUCAAGUCAGGUGUGAAAUCCUACAGCUUAACUGUAGAACUGCACUUGAAACUGGUAACCUAGAGUAUGGGAGGGGGAGAUGGAAUUAGUGGUGUAGGGGUAAAAUCCGUAGAUAUCACUAGGAAUACCUAAAGCGAAGGCGAUCUCCUGGAACAUAACUGACGCUAAGGCGUGAAAGCGUGGGGAGCAAACAGGAUUAGAUACCCCAGUAGUC